RNAcentral lists this ribosomal RNA (414 nucleotides) under uncultured bacterium. RNAcentral describes it as "bacterial SSU rRNA". It matches the Rfam family "Bacterial small subunit ribosomal RNA", at positions 110 to 518 of the family's 1533-position model. The record is from RNAcentral.
GUAACGCGUAUGCAACCUACCUAUCGAGAGGGGAACUAACCCGGCGAAAGUCGGACUAAUACCGCAUAAAACAGGGGCACCGCAUGGUGAUAUUUGUUAAAGAAAUUCGCUGAUAGAUGGGCAUGCGUUCCAUUAGGUAGUUGGUGAGGUAACGGCUCACCAAGCCGACGAUGGAUAGGGGAACUGAGAGGUUGGUCCCCCACACUGGUACUGAGACACGGACCAGACUCCUACGGGAGGCAGCAGUGAGGAAUAUUGGUCAAUGGGCGGGAGCCUGAACCAGCCAAGUCGCGUGAAGGAAAAGAAGGAUCUAUGGUUCGUAAACUUCUUUUGCAGGGGAAUAAAGUGCAGGACGUGUCCUGUUUUGUAUGUACCCUGAGAAUAAGGAUCGGCUAACUCCGUGCCAGCAGCAGC